Long non-coding RNA from Lineus longissimus, 483 nucleotides. RefSeq lists it as uncharacterized. The record is from RefSeq and is a predicted model, not a curated record. NCBI's taxonomy places the organism in Eukaryota, Metazoa, Nemertea, Pilidiophora, Heteronemertea, Lineidae. The transcript has 3 exons.
GAACGCCAGUCCGUUGGCGGGUGAACUGCGUAGAACAUCGCAGGAACACUUUCUCCGAUUUCAAACACAAAAAUGCCUUCAAUAUUUCGGUGAUCAAGUGAAACUUCUGCAGCAGAAGAGGUGCUGCACCAUGAGCCUGGCCAAUGAGGUGUGAAAGAGAGAAUGGUUAGUGCCAGUCUUCACAAUGACGAGGUGGGGCUUGCACUGGUUAAACAGGGCCACCUCAGUGGAACCAUAUUCUAACCCGACACAAAGCAAUCGAGAAGGACACAGGGAGACAUUGCUACACGAGGACACGAAUCCUCUCAAACUGUGGCGCCACCUGUUCCCACAUGCAGUGUCGAGACGGAGCUUCCUGUUUUACAUUAUUUGAAAAGCCUAUUUGUGAUUUUCAUUUAACAGAUCAAUAAACCAAAGUGUUUAGUAGGUGGGACGUUUGAAUUUGUCCUGACCAUCGCAAAUAAAGAAUGGAAUGUUUCACAA